RNAcentral lists this transfer RNA (85 nucleotides) under Syntrophomonas sp. Its description in RNAcentral is "tRNA-Leu". It matches the Rfam family "tRNA". From Rfam's summary of the family: Transfer RNA (tRNA) molecules are approximately 80 nucleotides in length. Their secondary structure includes four short double-helical elements and three loops (D, anti-codon, and T loops). The record is from RNAcentral. Lineage: Bacteria; Bacillati; Bacillota; Clostridia; Eubacteriales; Syntrophomonadaceae.
GCGGAUGUGGCGGAACUGGCAGACGUGCUUGACUUAGGAUCAAGUGCCGCGAGGCGUGGGGGUUCGAGUCCCUUCAUCCGCACCA